UAGUAGCACCCACUGAAACCAAUUUGCAA
RNAcentral lists this non-coding RNA (29 nucleotides) under Rattus norvegicus (Norway rat). The record is from RNAcentral. Lineage: Eukaryota; Metazoa; Chordata; Mammalia; Rodentia; Muridae.